RNAcentral lists this ribosomal RNA (353 nucleotides) under uncultured organism. RNAcentral's name for it is "bacterial SSU rRNA". It matches the Rfam family "Bacterial small subunit ribosomal RNA", at positions 367 to 733 of the family's 1533-position model. The record is from RNAcentral.
CGCAAUGGGCGAAAGCCUGACGGAGCGACGCCGCGUGAUGGAUGAAGUGCCUUGGUACGUAAACAUCUUUUAUCGGGGACGAAGUUUAUUGACGGUACCCGAUGAAUAAGGAGCUCCUAACUCUGUGCCAGCAGGAGCGGUAAUACAGAGGCUCCAAGCAUUACCCGGAAUCACUGGGCGUAAAGGGUGUCUAGGCGGCCAUAUUAGUCUCUCGUUAAAUCUGCGGGCUUAACCUGCAGGCUGCGAGGGAAACGGUAUGGCUCGAGGGCGUAAGAGGUGCACGGAACUCAUGGUGGAGGGGUGAAAUCCGUUGAUAUCAUGGGUAACUCCGACUCAGAAUAGGGCGAAUUGAA